This 50-nucleotide ribosomal RNA is filed under the name Dumasia nitida. Its description in RNAcentral is "partial large subunit ribosomal RNA". The record is from RNAcentral. Lineage: Eukaryota; Viridiplantae; Streptophyta; Magnoliopsida; Fabales; Fabaceae.
CUCCAACGAGACCUCAGGUCAGGCGGGGCUACCCGCUGAAUUUAAGCAUA